UACAUGAGUGGUAAGCGUUAUCUAUAAUUGUUAGGUGUAAAAAAUCUUACGAACCGCGUUGAUUUAUAUACAAGUAAUUUUAUACAGCGUAAAUUAUUUUAUACAGAAAGCUAGGCGGCUUAAUUAUUGGGGAUAAAAUCCUAUAUUUGUAAUGCCUAUAGUCGGCCCAAAGACUAAUGUAUCUAGCUGGUAUAAUUUUUGUUUUUUAAGAUGAAAGUAUAGGGGCUGGCGAGGAUUAGAGACCCUUUUAAACUAUACUGUAAAUUAUGGUAAGAUGCUAGUAUAGCAUGGCUAACGUAUAACUUACCUACCGGGGGUACAACCGCAAGGUUUAAACUUAAACGAAUUGGCGGGACUUUAUAUAUGGUGGAACAUGUGACUUAAUUCGGUAAUCCCCGCAAAAUCUUACCAGCCCAUCAAUAAAUAAUGUUAUAUAGCAAAAUAUAGACAGAUUUAUUUUUAGGUAUCGCAUGGCUGUCGUCAGCUCGUGCUGUAAAGUGUAGCAUUUAGUUGUAGAAACGAGCGUAACCUACACUAACAAUAGCAGCAUUUAAAUUGUUCUGGAAUAGAUUAGAUUGUAAACUGCACUGCAGUAUAUGAUUUUUUUUUAGGAAUUAUUGUUUGAUUGUUAGUUAUGUAGAUGAAGUCAAGUCUUUAUGGUCUAAUUGGGUUGGGCCGCACACGUGUUACAAUAAAAAAGACAGAGAUAUGAAAUAUAGCGAUAUAUUUUUUUUGAAAAAUUUUUUAGUAUGAAUUGUUAGUUUCAAGUCACUAACAUGAAAACGGAAUCAUCAGUAAUCGCAGUUUAGAAUGCUGCGGUGAAGUUAUAACGAAGUUUGCACACACCGCCCAUCACGCUCGAAGAAUCGAAUUGGCUUAAGUUGUGUACAUUGGGUGCUAUUAUGCGCCAUAUAUAACCAAAUGAAACUAGUUGGGUAAUCUGAGUGAAG
Molecule: ribosomal RNA, 950 nt
Filed under: Spirodysteria kahli
Lineage: Eukaryota; Ciliophora; Phyllopharyngea; Dysteriida; Dysteriidae
Description: partial small subunit ribosomal RNA
Rfam family: Bacterial small subunit ribosomal RNA
Source: RNAcentral